Molecule: small nucleolar RNA, 105 nt
Filed under: Gossypium arboreum
Lineage: Eukaryota; Viridiplantae; Streptophyta; Magnoliopsida; Malvales; Malvaceae
Description: Plant small nucleolar RNA R71
Rfam family: Plant small nucleolar RNA R71
About the family: R71 is a member of the C/D box family of snoRNAs containing the C (UGAUGA) and D (CUGA) box motifs.
Source: Rfam by way of RNAcentral
AACCCAUGCUGAGGGCACCUUCUCAACAGAUCCUUGUAUCUCUCCCAUGCAUCGUAGAGUGUUUCUAAAUCCAUCUACACAAAAGAAAAAGAAGUUGGUGAUGAU